Cololabis saira (Pacific saury) is the source of this 793-nucleotide long non-coding RNA. RefSeq lists it as uncharacterized. The transcript has 2 exons. NCBI's taxonomy places the organism in Eukaryota, Metazoa, Chordata, Actinopteri, Beloniformes, Belonidae. The record is from RefSeq and is a predicted model, not a curated record.
UUAAGAACAUCCAGCCACCAGGGGGGGCUGCUGCUCUCCAUCCCGCUGAGUGCUGCUUAUCGUGGUAGAAGAAGAGAGACAACGAUGAGAAGCUGAUGAUGUGGAUGAAGCUGUUAUAUUACUUUGUGUCAUGAAUCUGAUGUUUGUGGUUCAGUGUGCGUCCAGAGAAACAGACUGAGCCGGUCUGACCCCCGGUCUGACCCCCGUCCUCCUCCUGUCAGGGUGGAGCCUGCUGCUGCUGCUGGACCACCCACCACCACCACCACCACCACGGACCACACCAGCUCUGAGCAGGAGGAGGAGGUGGAACUGUGUGUUUUUAUUUCAUUCACACGCACAACAAACUGUCUGACGACAACAGGAAGAUGACACGUGUUGGCGACUGCUGGUUUGGAGGGAACCAUCAUUCCUGGAGUCUGGACUGUUCUGGUGACGGUCGGUACCGGCUCCUUCACAAUACAAGAGGAACAUCUUCCUCCUAGUUAUGUUAUCUGAAUGUCACUGACGGUUUUCUUUGUUGUCACUUAAAUGUGAUAGUAUGCAUAUUAUCUCUGUAUAUGAUGUUCAUGCUAAUAACAUUAUUAUUUGGAUUGUGUGCUAUGGUGAAACAUACGUUUAUGGCUGUUUAUGGAUUUAUAUUAUUCUUUGGUUUGUUCCAGAACCACACACACCCACCACAUCUCUAAGUUCACUCUCUAGACUGGAUUAAAGCACUGUAAAGGAAACUGACAGCUUCCUGCCUCUUCAUUUAAGUCUUGACACGCGCUUCACGAUUAAAAUACAGAGAAAGUCA